UACGGAGGAGGCAAGCGUUAUCCGGAAUCAUUGGGCGUAAAGCGUCCGCAGGUGGCUAAUCAAGUCCGCGGUUAAAGACCGGAGCUCAACUCCGGAAAAGCCGUAGAAACUGAAAAGCUAGAGGUCGGUAGGGGUAGCGGGAAUUCCCAGUGUAGCGGUGAAAUGCGUAGAGAUUGGGAAGAACAUCGGUGGCGAAAGCGCGCUACUGGGCCGAAACUGACACUGAGGGACGAAAGCUAGGGGAGCGAAAGGG
RNAcentral lists this ribosomal RNA (253 nucleotides) under uncultured bacterium. RNAcentral's name for it is "partial 16S ribosomal RNA". It matches the Rfam family "Bacterial small subunit ribosomal RNA", at positions 524 to 776 of the family's 1533-position model. The record is from RNAcentral.